UACAGAGGUCUCAAGCGUUGUUCGGAUUCAUUGGGCGUAAAGGGUGCGUAGGCGGCGCGGUAAGUCGGAUGUGAAAUCUCGGAGCUUAACUUCGAAACUGCAUUCGAUACUGCCGUGCUUUGAGGACUGGAGAGGAGACUGGAAUUUACGGUGUAGCGGUGAAAUGCGUAGAUAUCGUAAGGAAGACCAGUGGCGAAGGCGGGUCUCUGGACAGUUCCUGACGCUGGAGGCACGAAGGUCAGGGGAGCAAACGGG
This 255-nucleotide ribosomal RNA is filed under the name uncultured bacterium. RNAcentral's name for it is "partial 16S ribosomal RNA". It matches the Rfam family "Bacterial small subunit ribosomal RNA", at positions 524 to 776 of the family's 1533-position model. The record is from RNAcentral.